GAUGAACGCUGGCGGCGUGCCUAAUACAUGCAAGUAGAACGCUGAAGGAAGGAGCUUGCUCUUUCCGGAUGAGUUGCGAACGGGUGAGUAACGCGUAGGUAACCUGCCUGGUAGCGGGGGAUAACUAUUGGAAACGAUAGCUAAUACCGCAUAACAGUAGAUGUUGCAUGAUAUCUACUUAAAAGGUGCAAUUGCACCACUACCAGAUGGGCCUGCGUUGUAUUAGCUAGUUGGUGAGGUAACGGCUCACCAAGGCGACGAUACAUAGCCGACCUGAGAGGGUGAUCGGCCACACUGGGACUGAGACACGGCCCAGUCUCCUACGGGAGGCAGCAGUAGGGAAUCUUCGGCAAUGGACGGAAGUCUGACCGAGCAACGCCGCGUGAGUGAAGAAGGUUUUCGGAUCGUAAAGCUCUGUUGUAAGAGAAGAACGAGUGUGAGAGUGGAAAGUUCACACUGUGACGGUAUCUUACCAGAAAGGGACGGCUAACUACGUG
This 497-nucleotide ribosomal RNA is filed under the name uncultured bacterium. RNAcentral's name for it is "partial 16S ribosomal RNA". It matches the Rfam family "Bacterial small subunit ribosomal RNA", at positions 28 to 507 of the family's 1533-position model. The record is from RNAcentral.